CCGCCCCUCUCGCGAGACUUCCGCCGCGGCCUAGUCGCCCCCGCGGGGCCGAGGCCCGCGACUUGCCGCCGGCCCCUCCAGUCGAGGGCCCGGCCCGCGCGGGGAAGCCUCCUCGGGCCCUCGGCGUGUUCCCGGCAUGCAACGCGUGCUACCCCGGCGUGUCACGUUUAUUCCCAUUGUAGGGAUGCGGCAACUGAGGCCGGGCUGUGCAGCGCAGCGCAGCUAGGCUUAGCAAUGGGCCUCUGAGGCACCCCCCCCCCUUGCCCUGUGCGUGUAGUGUCGGCCACUCGAAAUGAGGGUGAAAACACACUGCCCCGAUCUCUCCGGCUGCCCUCGCGGGGGGUCGCGCCCGCGGCUAACGUCUGACGUCGAGCGGCUGGUUUCGUGUGGGAGAUUCGGCCGGUUUCUAUCCGCGAAUCGGCCGGCUGAGUGACACCGAUCCCUUCGAAGCGUUAAAGCAGCGUAGGCGUGUUGGUGUCGGGGCGCGCCAGUUUAGCGGCACAUUUCAAAUAGUGGCGAUCCCGCCGCUCGGUGCAACGCGGGGCCCGGUUUCACACUAGCCCCGACGGAGAAAUGUACCGCUGGGGCCCUGCAAAUACUUCAAAUAGACGAUAGAGACCCAUCAAGUGACACGGUGACCCAUCUCAUUUCAGUAUGAGGAGAAUGGAAGAUAAUUGCUGCAUAGGAAGAAUGGUCCCAUGGCGGUGAGCGAGGUCCUCAUGUUCUCCAGUGGAACAGAACCAGGACUGGGGGGAGAGGAGGAAUCACUCGCUUUAGAGCCACUUCAGAAAAAACAUCAGACACUCACAGCGUGGAGCAGAGAAUUGACUGCAUGCAGAUUCGCUGCAGAAUGAAAAUUUAUGCCAACGAAAUACAUUUCAUAUUCAAAACCA
Molecule: long non-coding RNA, 893 nt
Organism: Alligator mississippiensis (American alligator)
Lineage: Eukaryota; Metazoa; Chordata; Crocodylia; Alligatoridae
Exons: 3
Source: RefSeq, a predicted model, not a curated record